Molecule: ribosomal RNA, 433 nt
Filed under: uncultured bacterium
Lineage: Bacteria
Description: partial 16S ribosomal RNA
Rfam family: Bacterial small subunit ribosomal RNA
Source: RNAcentral
AGCGAACGCUGGCGGCAGGCCUAACUCAUGCAAGUCGAACGAACUCUUCGGAGUUAGUGGCGGACGGGUGAGUAACACGUGGGAACGUGCCUUUUGGUUCGGAAUAACUCAGGGAAACUUGUGCUAAUACCGAAUGUGCCCUUCGGGGGAAAGAUUUAUCGCCAUUAGAGCGGCCCGCGUCUGAUUAGCUAGUUGGUGAGGUAACGGCUCACCAAGGCGACGAUCAGUAGCUGGUCUGAGAGGAUGACCAGCCACACUGGGACUGAGACACGGCCCAGACUCCGCCGGGCCGCAGCAGUGUUUGAUCUUGCGCAAUGCUCGAAAUACUGACAAAGUCAUGCCGGGUGAAUGAUGAACGAAUUCGCAUUGCAAAAUUCUGUUAGCGGUUACGAGAGUGACGUUACCAAGAGAAGAUGCCACGGCUAACUUUGGU